GAUGAACGCUGGCGGCGUGCCUAAUACAUGCGAGUCGAGCGAACGGACGAGAAGCUUGCGGCUCUGAUGUUAGGGGCGGACGGGUGAGUAACACGUGGAUAACCUACCUAUAAGACUUGGAGAACGUCGGGAAACCGGAGCUAAUACCGGAUAAUAUUUUGAACCGCAUGGUUCAAAGGUGAAAGACGGUCUUGCUGUCACUUAUAGAUGGAUCCGCGCUGCAUUAGCUAGUUGGUAAGGUAACGGCUUACCAAGGGAACGAUGCAUAGCCGACCUGAGAGGUUGGUCGGCCACCCUGGAACUGGGAAACGGUCCACACUCCUAAGGCAGGCAGCAGUAGGGAGUCUUCCGCAAUGGGCGAAAGCCUGACGGAGCAACGCCGCGCGAGUGAUGAAGGUCUUCGGAUCGUAAAACUCUGUUAUUAGGGAAGAACAGAUGUGUAAGUGCCUGUGCACAUCUUGACGGUACCUAAUAAGAAAGCCCCGGCUAACUACGUG
RNAcentral lists this ribosomal RNA (497 nucleotides) under uncultured bacterium. RNAcentral's name for it is "partial 16S ribosomal RNA". It matches the Rfam family "Bacterial small subunit ribosomal RNA", at positions 28 to 507 of the family's 1533-position model. The record is from RNAcentral.